RNAcentral lists this ribosomal RNA (1056 nucleotides) under Triticum aestivum (bread wheat). RNAcentral's name for it is "partial small subunit ribosomal RNA". Lineage: Eukaryota; Viridiplantae; Streptophyta; Magnoliopsida; Poales; Poaceae. The record is from RNAcentral.
AUGGCCGGCCAUGGCGACGAGGUGACGACGAACAGGAAGGUGGUGCUGAGGAGGCACGUGACAGGCUACCCGACGGCGGAGGACAUGGAGGUGGUCGUCACCUCCGACGUCCGGCUGCGGGUGCCGGAGGGGCCGACGCCCGCCGUGGUGGUCAAGAACCUGUACCUUUCCUGCGACCCGUGGAUGCGCGGCCGCAUGACCAAGCACGACGUUGGCGAUGCCGUGCCGGCCGAGGACUUCGUGCUUGGAGAGGCCUUGGUCAAUUUCACGGUUGGCAAGGUGCUCGACUCGACGCACCCGGAGUUCGACGCCGGCGACCUCGUCCGGGGGAUGAGUGCAUGGGAGGAGUACACCCUCAUCACCCAAACGGAGGGCCUGUUCAAGAUCAACCACCCCGAGCUGCCACUCUCACACUACACAGGUGUUCUUGGCUUGGCAGGGCUCACUGCAUAUGCUGGACUUUUUGAGGUUGGCAAGCCAAAGCAAGGUGAAUCUGUUUUUGUGUCGGCAGCGUCUGGCGCCGUGGGUCAGGUCGUUGGACAGCUCGCCAAGAUCGCAGGAUGCUAUGUGGUUGGAAGUGCCGGCUCCGAUGAGAAGGUGAAUCUCCUGAAGAGCAAGAUGGGCUUCGACGAUGCGUUCAACUACAAGUCGGAGGGGGGCGACCUCGGCGCGGCGCUCGGGCGGCGCCUCCCCGGCGGCAUCGACGUCUACUUCGACAACGUGGGCGGCGCGACGCUGGACGUGGAGCUGCUGCGCAUGCGGCCGGGCGGCAGGGUGGUGGCGUGCGGGAUGAUCUCACGGUACAACCUACCGGAGCACCAGGGGGUGCGCAACCUGUGGUGCACCAUCCCGAAGCGCGUCCGGGUGGAGGGCUUCUCCUGCAUGGACUACCACCACCUGUACCCCAGGUUCGAGGAGGAGAUGGCCAGCUACAUCAAGGCAGGGAAGGUGACCGUCGUGGAGGACGUCGUCCGAGGGAUCGACAAGGCGCCCGAGGCUCUGGUGGGCCUGUUUUCUGGGAGAAAUGUAGGCAAGCUGUUGGUUGCUCUUGCAUGA